UAGUUUAAAAGAUUUCGUGAUGAAUCAUAACUACUAUAAGUGGUGCCCUACCAUGGGGUACACCUUGUCGUGGUGGUAGGGCUCUCUAGUCACAUUUUUCUAUGGCACAGCUAAGUAUACCAGGCGGGUAAAUCUGGUUACAAGGAUGCUGUAUCAUUCAAAUGCUUCAUGGAGUAGAGAAAUCCAAAAGGGUUCUCGACGACUGCUCAUUAAACGUAAUAUAGAAACCUAUAUUGACAUGAGCAGCACAUGUUUCACGUACAUUAACUCCCGAGGCGUGCGGUAGACGACAAUUUGGACAACUUCCGAAUCCGAUUCAGCCAUUUGCCGAUAGGGUUUCGAAUAAUCGGACUAGAUGGGGCAUGGAGAAAAUGGGGUGUAUCUGAAAAGAAUAAGAAAGAUGGACAGUGAUGCCUGCACAGACUGUGGUGCUGUGGAUGAUGCAGGACACGGAGUGUUAAAGUGCCCAAGGUGGGAAGCCGAGAGAUACCGCGUCGCUAUUAGAGUAGGAGAAGUAAUAGAAAAGGGUAACAUAAUCGAAACAAUGCUGGAAAGUGCAGAGGAAUGGAGACCCCUCUGGAAGAAUGCUUGAGCGAUGCCCGGAGGCGGAUAUUUUGGAGAUUAAGGGAUAAGGGGUUUUAGUGGGUGUGAGCCCCACACUACCGUUGCGAACAGACGGUGUGUGGUAAAAAAAAGAUCAUGACUUGUUAAACGUGAUAAAAGAGACUUGAUGGUAGGGCAAAGAAAAUAAUUGUUUUCUUCGUCGACAACUAAGGAAACUGCAUACAGCUUUGCGUGAACCGUAUGUUGCGGGCAAAUUUUGACUUAACUGUGAAUAAGUUGCCAUCACGCUUAAGAGUCUUCUGUUCGACUGCACCCAAUGUAAGGUUCCAUAAGAACGCCCGCUAUAGGAACUGUUUUUCCAAAAAAAGGUGUUUUAAGAACUACUUUAAAAUUUAGAUCUUUAUCUACAAAAUGUUCGUAAUGUAAAAAAGUUGCGCUUACGUAGACGUACAGAAAACUCUUAAAGUGGACAUAGCUUACUAAAUCAUCUCCAUAUGAUAGCUUCGAUGACCUAAAAACAAAGCAUCUUAUAUCACAGUUUUGAUACGGUUCUGUGCAACGUCUCCCUGUCUACACUGAUACGAUACGGGGAUACGAUACGAGGAUACGCAACAAAUCUGGACCGGUCUUGUACACAUUCUUCUAAAUAACUCAUUUCUUGUAAUAAGCUUAACUUAAAAACCUACAAGACUUAUAUGGCAGUUUUCUGAUGAGCAAAAAUCUUUCUGUUUGAUGCAAGAAAUAUUCCCAACAUCAUUACAUCAUUUUUUGGCAGAUUUGAUGCUAUCAGCUUUCGUAUACCCACUUUCCAUUCCUAUCUGGUUUUAAAAACUAAACUUUAGGAUAAUAUGAUCACCAUAAAAUGGAACAAGCACUAAAUUAAAAAACGUGGACAAACUAUAUCAACGCACAGAGGAUUAGGAUAGUGACGUCACGCGCUCUGAUUGGCGUUUGAUAUCACGUGACAAAUGUCGUUAUUUUUUAAUUUUAUUUUUACUAAAAUAUAAUAGUUUCUCUUGUACAUUACCAAAGAAAGUUAUUUUGCGAUACCCUGGUACCUUACUCUAUCUUAUGAAACAAACAUUUAUUUAUUCUUUUUCCACUGUCAUGUAGCCUAUUUGAACUCAAUUGAGAUAAUUAGUUUAAUCCCUUGAUUGUUAACGAAGACGAAUUCUUGUGCAAUGCAAUAUUUUUUCUCUACUAUAAAGCAGUAUAGAUUAGAUAAAACUUUGAAUGGAAUCUUAAGGUAAAUUAAAUGCUUAUUUUAUUCAUUUAGUCGUUGCCAGCAUAUACGUCCAAUUAAUAUGUAGGUAGGUACCGGAUGUGUCGUAUCAUAAUUAUAUGUUUUUAUAUCUU
This is a long non-coding RNA of Photinus pyralis (common eastern firefly), 1920 nucleotides long. RefSeq lists it as uncharacterized. The record is from RefSeq and is a predicted model, not a curated record. The transcript is spliced from 2 exons. Lineage: Eukaryota; Metazoa; Arthropoda; Insecta; Coleoptera; Lampyridae.